GGUCUUGUAGUGUAGUUGGUUAUCACUUCGGAUUCUGAAGCUUAGACUUCCGGUGACCCCGGUUCGAAUCCGGGCAGGACCU
This is a transfer RNA of Coniochaeta ligniaria NRRL 30616, 82 nucleotides long. It matches the Rfam family "tRNA". Rfam says of the family: Transfer RNA (tRNA) molecules are approximately 80 nucleotides in length. Their secondary structure includes four short double-helical elements and three loops (D, anti-codon, and T loops). Lineage: Eukaryota; Fungi; Ascomycota; Sordariomycetes; Coniochaetales; Coniochaetaceae. The record is from Rfam.